GGGUUGGUAGUUAAUAUAUAAUAAAGGUUUUGUAAACUUUAGUAGGUUUAUCCCUGGCCCU
Molecule: transfer RNA, 61 nt
Filed under: Ruditapes philippinarum (Manila clam)
Lineage: Eukaryota; Metazoa; Mollusca; Bivalvia; Venerida; Veneridae
Description: tRNA-Thr
Source: RNAcentral